Dermochelys coriacea (leatherback sea turtle) is the source of this 268-nucleotide long non-coding RNA. RefSeq lists it as uncharacterized. The transcript has 3 exons. Lineage: Eukaryota; Metazoa; Chordata; Testudines; Dermochelyidae. The record is from RefSeq and is a predicted model, not a curated record.
GUAAGUAAAAGUUCACAUGCUGGAGUAUGAUGCUGAGGUAAGGAAAGGAUGCUAUGGCAAAUACUGUGACCAGAGAAUCAAAAAAGAGCUAGAUAAGUUCAUGGAGGAUAGGUCCAUUAAUGGCUAUUAACCAAGAUGGGUAGGGAUGAAAAACCAUGCACUGAGAAGUGUCCCUAGCCUCUGUUUCCCAGAAGCUGGGAAUAGGCCACAGGGGGAUGGAUCACUUGAUCAAUACAGGAUACUGGGCUAGAUGGACCUUUGAUCUGAC